RNAcentral lists this transfer RNA (71 nucleotides) under Ictidomys tridecemlineatus (thirteen-lined ground squirrel). RNAcentral describes it as "Spermophilus tridecemlineatus (thirteen-lined ground squirrel) tRNA". It matches the Rfam family "tRNA". From Rfam's summary of the family: Transfer RNA (tRNA) molecules are approximately 80 nucleotides in length. Their secondary structure includes four short double-helical elements and three loops (D, anti-codon, and T loops). Lineage: Eukaryota; Metazoa; Chordata; Mammalia; Rodentia; Sciuridae. The record is from Rfam by way of RNAcentral.
GUGGUUGUGGCUCAGUGCUAGAGCACUUGCCUAGCAUGCAUGAGGCACUGGGUUCAAUUCCCGGAACCAUA